UUAAUGUCUCAGUGCCAGUAAUGCACCAAUCUGCCCAUUGUCAAUGCCUGUCUCUUUUAAGAUGCUGUUUUAACCACCAGCGAGCAGCAUCUCCAAGCAUGACAUCUCUGUAAGAUGCCCCAGUGAGGCCUUACUCCCAACAAUCCUCUUUAAAAGUGUUUUAUUUGUUAAUCUGUGCACUGCCUUUUGGAGGUUGAAUUUAAAAUAUUGAAAUAUUUCCCCUGAAAAUCUACAUGAAGAAAU
Non-coding RNA from Pelobates cultripes (western spadefoot toad), 243 nucleotides. The record is from the annotation of a GenBank genome assembly. NCBI's taxonomy places the organism in Eukaryota, Metazoa, Chordata, Amphibia, Anura, Pelobatidae.